AUGCCCUUGAUCGUUGGGAAUGGAUCGAUUGCCCUAUUUUGGGAGGAUCAUUGGCUUAAUGGGCUGUCAAUUUGCAAGCUUAUGCCCAUGCUCUACAGUUGUAUCCCCAAGCGCCGACGCAAGGCCAGAACGGUGGUGGAAGGGCUCAAUGGAAACACUUGGGCACGCCACAUACACGGCGUCCUUGGCAUCCAUGAGAUCAUCCAAUGCCUGUAG
RNAcentral lists this ribosomal RNA (216 nucleotides) under Triticum aestivum (bread wheat). RNAcentral describes it as "partial small subunit ribosomal RNA". Lineage: Eukaryota; Viridiplantae; Streptophyta; Magnoliopsida; Poales; Poaceae. The record is from RNAcentral.